UAUUCUUUUUCCUUGCCUGUCUUAUUCAAAUUGCCAGUUUGACCAAUGUAGAAACACUGACUUAUCCAGUUGUUUCAGUUCUGUGAAGCUUCCCUAUUGCAAAGCUCUUUACAGAAAAGUUUCAAUGUGUUGAAAUAAGCGAUAAACCUUGGAGCCAGUUUCAUGUUUAAAUUCAGAAUAUGGCACUUCCUAGCAGCAGAGCUUUGGGAAAGUGACGUCACAGAGUAUUAGUUUCCUCCUCUGGCAAAUGGACAACAGUACCUAAUUUCUAGAGCAAUUACAAUGAUAGAUUGAGGUAACGCUCAUAACUGUUAGUACAGCACCUGGUGCUUAGUAGAUGCCCAGUGAAUGUAAGCUCAUGGUAUCAUUCCCUCCCUUUGCUGGACCGUGGACAAUGGCAAAGGUGGUGGGGAGCAUUUGAACCAACUCCCCAUAUAUUCCUUGGGUAUAUACUACAGGUGUAACAUUAAACCCAGUCCUCUUAGAAUACGGAGACCCAUCUUAAGGAUGAUUCUUUAGGAAAACUUAAAAGAGUGAGCAGAUUUAAACUGGUAUUUGAAAGAUGAUGAGCUUUGGUUUCAGAGGGCAAAAGGAAGUCAUUCCGCUUAUACAGUGCAUCCUGGGUGGACUCACUGGUUCUCAAUAUCCAUUCAUUCUUUCUUCCUUUUACUAAUGCACCUCCUACUACAUCCCUGUCCCUCAGUUUAGCUCAGAUGUGGCUACCUGCUACUUCUAUGACCUUUUUUUUUUCUUUGCCUCCAGGAACGACCACAUGAAUAAGUUCUGAACAAUAGGAUGUGACAAGAAGCACUGUUGUGGAUCACUUCUCAAAAUGAAUUUACUUGUUCUGUGUGUCUUCUUCCCCUCUCUUGAGGAUUGGCAUGGGAGUAUGAUGGGGAAGAGUCAUCUUUGCUCAUAAAGACAAUGGGGGAUGAUGAAGCAAUAGAAAGAAGAAACUGGGUUCCUGGUGACUUUGUUGAGCACAGCCACCCUUCCCAUCCAGACAGCCCAACAGCUCCACUCCUCCUUCCAGUUAAGCCACUGCUGUUUGAUCUCCAUUAUUACAACUAAACCAGUAUCUUCACUAAUCAUAUCCUGAGGAUGUAGGUGCAGGUGAAAAUGAGCCUAACACAUGUGGGGACAGAAAAGGAAUGGGUCUGAGUGGAAAAAAGGGAGGGUAUUUGAGAGUAAUAGGUAAAGGCAAACAGAGCACAGACUUACUUCUAGAUUCUUGAUGGGAGGAAGGCUAGGGAUUCUGAGAAGAGAGCAAAGCAAAUAAAGCCUUCCUACCCACAUGCCACCAAAAAAGCAUGGAAUAAAAUGAAAGAUAAUCCAUGGAAAAAAGCCAAGAAGACACAUUCCUCUCAUUCCAAUUCAACUCAGCAUCAGCUCAACUCAUAGGAGGAGGGCUCUAAGAACAAGGUCCAACACCAUCCUCACUAAGGGGUGGUUCUGUUUCUGUUAAUUGACCAGCUGCACAGAUGGGAAGUGAGGAUGAACUGAGGCAUCCCAGUCCAUUCUGAAUAGCCCUUUGCAAGCUCUGACUUGCACCGAUCAUAAUCACUUUUCCCUAUUGUUCUAUUUCCACCUUCUAAGGCCACAAAGAGCAAGUAGAAUCCUUGCAUAACUCUUGCUUCAAAUGACAGUCACUCCCAUGUGUGAUGGUGGCUCCCAUGGAGUCUCAUCUUAUAGAGGCAAACAACUCUUUCAUUAAGUCCUCAUAUUUAUACAUUUCUAUUUUUGUCUUUGCAGACAGAAUUCCCACCAAGGCUGUGCAGCCAUGGGCAAACAAGUUUCCUUGCCAUCCCAGCUUCUUUAUCUGAAAAAUGAAGAAGCUUGACUUUUCUAUUUACAAGUCCUCGUGUCAAAUACUUCUGGGAGGCAAGAAUGUAUACGGGGUGUUGGACAAUAGGGAAUGAUGAUAAUCGUGGUGAACUGGAAACUACAUACUUGACCUAAGGACAUUAAUGUUAAAUUUUGAGUUUUGUUUAUUGCCUGCUAGUGUUUGCUUUUUGGUAUUAAAGCUACAUUAGCCAUGUAAGCCACACCUGAAUGCUAGAUAUAGGCAAGUUUAUAAAUUCUGGUCUGAAUGAUCUUAAGGACUUCUCUAGCCCUAAAAUUCCAUUAUUCUUUUAAGGUGUCCCAUUUUACAGAGUGGACUCCAACUAGGCCUAUCUUUUGUGCCAAAGGGAGCAGAUACACCCUUGUGCUGGACAUCCUCCGUUUGCCCUUCCAGAUUGCUUUUCCAUUCUUCUCCACCUUGCUCUGUGCCCUGGAAUCUAAUUGUUAAGGACGCCAUCAAGCUGAGCUCAUUGAAUUCUGAGUUCUAGUUGGAACUGGCCAAUGAGAGUGCUAGCAUGAAACAGGCAGGUGAGAGGAGAGAAAGGUUAGCCCCUCCCUAUUUAUCUGCUGGUUGGCAGUGGCUGGGUUCCUGUAAUAAGGCCACAUCCGCUGUCUGCUGGCCUUACCCUAUGGCUACAUGUCUCAAUGGUUCAGAUAACCAUCCCUUCCUUUCCCUUUCAGGCCAAGGGACAUAACUGGCUGCCCACUGGUCAGCCUCCUGGGGCAGGCACAGAAGGGUGGAGGGAAGACCUCAUUAAAUAAAGACAUCCAGCACACCAAAACAGGCAGAAAGCAGACAUGAUAACGAGAUUGCCACCUAUUUACCUUCUUGUAACCAUAAGAAUGAGGGAAGCUUCAUUCCGACGGAGUUCGACCAAAAUAGAGAAGAAGUUGUAAGGGCAACCCUUGCAUAAAAAUAUCCACUCACCAACUGUUCACCAACUGUUCUUCCUCUUGCUGGCAUACCUUAUGCAGCAUCCUCAGAUGCCAGAGCGCGUUUCUGCUGCAGCCUCCACGAUGCCUGGGCUGAUAGCAAUCAGGUCCUGCUAUGCUUCUUUCAGGAAGAGCUGACCCCUGGAAUCUGGGCUAGACUUGCACUUGUUUUGGCCAUUGGAAUAUCAAGCUGACUUUUUGUGGGCUCUGGAGACUAGGACCUAAAAGGAGGAAUGUUGCCCCCUCAUCAUUAUGUAAAGAAGCUGGCGCAACCUGCUGGAGGAGAAUAUGCCACCUGGGGAAGAACUGAGGCACCCAGCCAACAUCCAGCACCCACCACUAGACAUGAAAACACUGGUCGGUUACUAAUGGAGAAGAAGAAAAAGCAGCAAAGACAACGAGUAUACUUGGGAUGCGAUCGCAUGCCUGGAGCAUCUGGUGGGCAGGAUUCACUCGUCCUUUCCUUUUUGAGAUUGCAAUUAAGUAGAUAAUAUGAGAGAGAACUGACAAUUGGGUUGUCCCUACUGAGCUUGGGGCCAGGUGUGUACUUAGGAACCCAAUCCCACCCAGAAGAGACUCAUCUAUGUUAACACUAAGGAUGCCCUGGAGGAGGUCCUGACCACAUACAUGCGGCCAUUGGUUGAUUUCAGCUUUGCAAGCAGCGUAGUGAGAAAACCAAAAGCUUGUCCUAUCCAGACUGAGCUUGCCAGGGAAGCAGAGGCCUGAGGUUACUUAACGAGAGGCAGGCUGCCAGAGUGGAGACACAGGGCAUGUACAAUCAUACAAACCUGCAUACCAAUUCUGCCCCCCCACUCACUCUGUGGCUGUGUCACCCUGGCAAGUGACUUAACCUCUCUGAUCUUCUUUUCCUCACCUAUAAAAUGGGGAAAAUGAAAUGUAUCUCAGAUUGGGGAUUCGAAGGUUUCAAAUGACCAUUUAGGUAAACUUCCUGGAACAUAGUAUGUGUUCAGGAACCUUGAGUUCCCUCCCCUUGGGAGAAGACCCCUCACACUGAGCUGGGGAGCAGGAUCCUGGUCACUGAGACUUCUUUUCUGCACAAACUUCAUCUUGGCCUCUAAUGAGAUGGAAUCCCCCAGGGCCUGUUGCCUCCUGUUAUUGCAAUUUAAGCACAGCCAGUGCUGACUGGGCUGUUAGACUCCAAAGGUUCCCUGGUAGAAAAUUUGAGGGGUGUGGGAUGGCAAGGGAUUGAGAGAGAGGGGUGGGGACUUCAGAUAGCCAGUAUUCCUUAGCCUUCCAAUUCCUUAACAGCCAAAUUACCCUAGAGCCUCUUUAUGAAGCUAAAGAAAUACAAAUACUAUUUUCAAAUCAGCAGGCAUUCCCAAUGUUGGCUUUUGCUGAGGGUAGCUAAGAGGCAAAGCAUACCUAGAUCCUAGGCCAGACCUCAACAGCCUUAGUUCUGGCUCCUUCUGUUUCCAUAUUUCUCAAGAACCUGGUUUUCUCUGCUGGAAGAAGCAUUUUCAGAGGUCAUCUGAAGUCUACAGCCCUCCCCUCUGCGAGGAGAGCACAGACUUGAAGUCAAGUGGGCCUGGGCUCCAAAUCUUAGUUCUGCCACUUACUAGCUAUGUGGCCUUGGACAAGUUACUUAACUCCCCCAUGCCUCAGUUUCUCUGGAUACCAAAUGGGGAUAAUGAUGCUAAUACCUCAUAGAGUAGGCAUGAGGGUUAUAUGAGUAAAGUGCUGAGAAAGGAGCCUGAUAGGUAAUUACCUGAUCCCCCUCCUCUCGCUAGAGCCCCCACACCCUGGUGAUACUCACCACUAUGCCUUCACUUUAUAAUCAACAGAAACACUUCAACACCCAUCCCAGAAAACACAUGAAAUACUCACAUUACACAAAGAUCAAAUGAGUGGGGAUGAUUAAACCUAUUUUCCUUUUGAUUCAAACAAGUGGAGUGCUCUGUCCUUGGCCACACAGUUUAAAGAAUGAAGCCAGGACUACAUGCCAAACAGCAUGACUCCUAGGGUAAAGUUCUUCCCACCCCAUGAAGAUGCCCUCACCCCUCAAUUUCUCCUGACUGUUUCUUUAAAUAGAAAGGUUUUGAUGGAAACACUAGUGACGUAUAUGAAUUUUGAAGCAGAUAUCCAUUUUUAAUAUAGGAAGGAAGACAUUAAGAUGUCAAACUUGGGGCUGCUAAAUGAACAUCUGUAGCCCAAACAUGGGGCACCAGGGCUGGGAGGCUCAGAGAAGUAAUUGCCACAAAAAAGAUGCACCAGGACAUUGAUUUCUUCUGCCUGUUUGCUUGAUUUCCACUUUGAGCUUACUCAAUUGGCUAUUCCUCUGUUUUGCCACCUCAAGAACAUGACCCCAGCUCAUUUGAAUGAAAAUAUGUUUGCCAUUACCUCAUUAAUUUCUGAGACUUUGCAUUAUUUUUUACACCCACCUCCUUUCUUUUCUUCUCCCUCAAAAUUCAGAGUAUUGGUUGGAAAGAGGUAAAUCAGGCACCAUUUCUCCAUGAUGUGUCAGGACCUGAAUCUGUCAUUUGCGAGCCUGACCUCAUAACUCAGCCAAGCCAAGCUGCAAGGCACCCUGGGAACCCAUCACUGAAAGACUGCAGAGGGAGGAAGGCAAGGGCAGGAAUAGCCAGCUGGUCAAGCAGCAGAGUGUCUCCUCAGCUCCCAGGAAAUGGUGUCUAAGGGUGAUGAUGAACUGGGACUUCAUCUGAGUCCAAAAUAAUGAUGCUGCUGAUGCAACAGCAGAACUUAUUAAACACUUACUACUGCAUAUGCCACUAUGAGGUAGACUUACAGAGAAUAAGUUACUCUCCCAUAAUCACACAGCCAGUAAAUGACAGAAAUGGGAUCCAAUCCAAAUAUGUUUCAUUCUAAAGCCCAUGCUCUUCACCAACAAAGCCCAACUUGAUUUAAUUUAUCCCCAAACAUACCAACAUCCAUUUGUUAGUUCCCUUCCCAAUUUAACUUUAAGCGUCUCACAUACAUACACUGUUUUUAUCCUAACAACAAGUUGGUGAGGAACUGAGCUCAGAGAGGUUAAUCCACCCACUGAAAGGCACCCAGUGUUUAAGAGCAGAGGGAGGGGCCUGACACAGGUCUUUCGGAGCAUGACAUGCAUGUUCUGUCCACAAGGCCUGUUGCUGCCUUUCCCCCAGAGGUCCAGACUGAGGACGGGACAGAGUAGAUAAAGACAGCAGUGUGAGAGGAGGCAGUGGGCAAUAUGGGGAAUCUAGGGGCAGCAGUAUGCUGGUCCCAUAUAAUCAGGCCCGGGGGAGGGGCCCAGACAGAGGGUGGCAGACUCUCUGUACUCCAGCAAGACAAUCCCAGAAGAAAUGCCAGAGAGAUCAAUGAGAAGGCCAGUCAUUUACACUGGGCACACACACAGUGUUUAGGGUACUCAGAUAGGUACCCAGGCCUCACCCCAGGCUGUUUGGACACCAGGAGUCAUAGCACUCUUCCAGGCCACAACUGCUACUUGGGGUGGGAGGAGAGGAUGAGACGUGGCAUUUGUGGAAUAAUGACUGUGGCCAAGCAGUGGGCUCUGUAUGAUGCCAUCGUCAAUUCUCACAGCAAUUCUACAACAUAGGUUUUGUUACUUCUCUCUCACGCUUUACCCUAAAUUUCUCCUGCCUACCACAGUGCUUGGCACACACAAACAGAAUAAUAAUGUGUGGAACUGACUAAUUCAUUUUCCAUUCUGCUGGUCAGGGAGAAAUUAAUAGAGGCAGAGGCUAUUAAUAAAACAUUACAUUACCUCCAAUGAGUGUGGAAUAAUUCUCUAAAAUACUGACAAUCAG
This 6542-nucleotide long non-coding RNA is filed under the name Homo sapiens (human). RNAcentral's name for it is "HSALNT0292482". The record is from RNAcentral. Lineage: Eukaryota; Metazoa; Chordata; Mammalia; Primates; Hominidae.